AGCAGCCGCGGUAAUUCCAGCUCCAAUAGCGUAUAUUAAAGUUGUUGCAGUUAAAAAGCUCGUAGUUGAACUUCAGGCCUGGCUGGAUGGUCCGCCUUCUGGGUGAGUACUGUCUGUGGUCGGGUCCUACCUUCUGGCGAAGCGUCAUGGCCUUCACCGGCCGUGGCGGGGAGCCAGGACUUUUACUGUGAAAAAUUAGAGUGUUCAAAGCAGGCACGCGCUUGAAUACAUUAGCAUGGAAUAAUGGAAUAGGACAGUGGUUCUAUUUGUUGGUUUCUAGGACCGUUGUAAUGAUUAAUAGGGAUAGUUGGGGGCAUUAGUAUUCAAUUGUCAGAGGUGAAAUUCUUGGAUUUAUCGAAGACUAACUACUGCGAAAGCAUUUGCCAAGGAUGUUUUCAUUAAUCAAGAACG
This 411-nucleotide ribosomal RNA is filed under the name uncultured Glomus. RNAcentral's name for it is "SSU rRNA". It matches the Rfam family "Eukaryotic small subunit ribosomal RNA", at positions 569 to 985 of the family's 1831-position model. The record is from RNAcentral. Lineage: Eukaryota; Fungi; Glomeromycota; Glomeromycetes; Glomerales; Glomeraceae.